GGAUCAUUAAAGAGUUCUAUAACUCCCAAACCCAUGUGAACAUACCUUACGUUGCCUCGGCAGGUCGCGCCUACCUCGUAGCACCCUACCCUGUAGGGCCUACCCGGGUGACGCGGGUAAGCCUGCCGGCGGCCCAUGAAACUCUGUUUAGCAUUGAAUUCUGAACAUAUAACUAAAUAAGUUAAAACUUUCAACAAUGGAUCUCUUGGUUCUGGCAUCGAUGAAGAACGCAGCGAAAUGCGAUAAGUAAUGUGAAUUGCAGAAUUCAGUGAAUCAUCGAAUCUUUGAACGCACAUUGCGCCCAUUAGUAUUCUAGUGGGCAUGCCUGUUCGAGCGUCAUUUCAACCCUUAAGCCUCUGUUGCUUAGUGUUGGGAGCCUACAGCACCUGUAGCUCCUCAAAGUUAGUGGCGGAGUCGGUUUACACUCUAGACGUAGUAAUUUUAUCUCGCCUAUUAGUUGGACCGGUCCCCUGCCGUAAAACCCCUAUUUUUAAAGGUUGACCUCGGAUCAGGUAGGAAUACCCGCUGAACUUAAGCAUAUCAAUAAGCGGAGGAAAAGAAACCAACAGGGAUUGCCCUAGUAACGGCGAGUGAAGCGGCAACAGCUCAAAUUUGAAAUCUGGCCCUCGGGUCCGAGUUGUAAUUUGUAGAGGAUGCUUUUGGCGCGGUGC
This 671-nucleotide ribosomal RNA is filed under the name fungal endophyte. RNAcentral describes it as "eukaryotic LSU rRNA". The stretch from base 186 to 339 matches the Rfam family "5.8S ribosomal RNA". The record is from RNAcentral. Lineage: Eukaryota; Fungi.